Long non-coding RNA from Scaptodrosophila lebanonensis, 608 nucleotides. RefSeq lists it as uncharacterized. Lineage: Eukaryota; Metazoa; Arthropoda; Insecta; Diptera; Drosophilidae. The transcript has 2 exons. The record is from RefSeq and is a predicted model, not a curated record.
UGUCCAUUCAAGUGCCAGUUAUGCUUUUGCUUAGAUCUCUGUGUAGUAUAGGUCUGUUGUGUUAUGCUCUGGCAACUUGUCGGGAGGGCUUUAAGCCCGUGGGUACAAAAUGUUACAUUAUAUCCCACUCGACGAUGGAAUGGAUUGCGGCCGCGCUCUUUUGCACUGAGAAUAAAGCCCAGAUGCUGGUGGUGGAAAAUGCAAAGGAAAGGGAUCUUCUCCUGACAUAUUUCAAAAGCGAAGGUGUUGAUUUAGAAUGUUGGUCCUCAGGCGUGUGGACAGCAAUUAAUUGCCUCAAAGAAAAUCGAAAGUUUGUUUUGCAUCCCACAAACGAAAAAAUUCCUUUUAAUAUGUGGGGACCUGGACAGCCUGACUAUUGGCGUCAAAAGUGUGUGUCAUGUUGUUUUCACUAUAGCCCAUCAAAGUUGGUAUAUCAUGAUUAUGAGUGCGAUGCAACCAGGUAUAGAGCUGUAUGUCAGUAUCCUAAGCCUGCACCCUUAGAAGAUGCAGAAAUGUGCGUUGAACUUGAAGAAGCUCCUCCAUAUUGUAAAACUCUUAAGCCCACUGAGUUGGAAAAUAUAAAGCCACUUGCUAAGAUCGAACUUUAA